GACGAACGCUGGCGGCGUGCUUAACACAUGCAAGUCGAGCGGUAAGGCCCUUUCGGGGGUACACGAGCGGCGAACGGGUGAGUAACACGUGGGUGACCUGCCCUCAGCUCUGGGAUAAGCCUGGGAAACUGGGUCUAAUACUGGAUAUGACUCCACGGUGCAUGUCGUGGGGUGGAAAGCCUUGUGCGGCUGAGGAUGGGCCCGCGGCCUAUCAGCUUGUUGGUGGGGUGANGGCCUACCAAGGCGACGACGGGUAGCCGGCCUGAGAGGGCGACCGGCCACACUGGGACUGAGACACGGCCCAGACUCCUACGGGAGGCAGCAGUGGGGAAUCUUGCGCAGUGGGCGAAAGCCUGACGCAGCGACGCCGCGUGAGGGAUGACGGCCUGG
This 390-nucleotide ribosomal RNA is filed under the name uncultured bacterium. RNAcentral describes it as "bacterial SSU rRNA". It matches the Rfam family "Bacterial small subunit ribosomal RNA", at positions 28 to 419 of the family's 1533-position model. The record is from RNAcentral.